This 72-nucleotide transfer RNA is filed under the name Phycisphaerales bacterium. RNAcentral's name for it is "tRNA-Ser". It matches the Rfam family "tRNA". From Rfam's summary of the family: Transfer RNA (tRNA) molecules are approximately 80 nucleotides in length. Their secondary structure includes four short double-helical elements and three loops (D, anti-codon, and T loops). Further hydrogen bonds mediate the characteristic L-shaped molecular structure. tRNAs have two regions of fundamental functional importance: the anti-codon, which is responsible for specific mRNA codon recognition, and the 3' end, to which the tRNAs corresponding amino acid is attached (by aminoacyl-tRNA synthetases). tRNAs cope with the degeneracy of the genetic code in two manners: having more than one tRNA (with a specific anti-codon) for a particular amino acid; and 'wobble' base-pairing, i.e. permitting non-standard base-pairing at the 3rd anti-codon position. The record is from RNAcentral. Lineage: Bacteria; Pseudomonadati; Planctomycetota; Phycisphaerae; Phycisphaerales.
GGCCUCAUAAGUUACAAACCGAGUGUUCAGGUUCUCAUCCUGAAGACACGGGUUCGAUUCCCGUUGGGGGUA